Molecule: ribosomal RNA, 274 nt
Filed under: uncultured bacterium
Lineage: Bacteria
Description: partial 16S ribosomal RNA
Rfam family: Bacterial small subunit ribosomal RNA
Source: RNAcentral
AUACGGAGGGUGCAAGCGUUACUCGGAAUCACGGGGCGUAAAGCGCGCGCAGGCGGCUAUUUAAGUUGGAUGUGAAAGCCUACGGCUCAACCGUAGAACUGCAUCCAAAACUAUUUAGCUAGAGUGUGGGAGAGGAAGAUGGAAUUAGUUGUGUAGGGGUAAAAUCCGUAGAGAUAACUAGGAAUACCAAAAGCGAAGGCAAUCUUCUGGAACACUACUGACGCUCAGGCGCGAAAGCGUGGGGAGCAAACAGGAUUAGAAACCCUAGUAGUCC